RNAcentral lists this small RNA (766 nucleotides) under Pan troglodytes (chimpanzee). Its description in RNAcentral is "processed transcript". Lineage: Eukaryota; Metazoa; Chordata; Mammalia; Primates; Hominidae. The record is from RNAcentral.
ACGUGACGCACCUCCCUUCAGCGCCGCCACCCGCUCCCUCCCGCCGUCGGCUGACGUGGAGGGCUGGAGGUGGCGGCGGCGGCGGCGGCGGCUGCUGCUGCUGCCCGCGUCCGAGGCUCGCGGGCGGCGGGCCCGGAAAUGCACUCGGUGAUGGAAAGAGAGCCACUAUUCUGAAGAACACUUGGCCAAAGGGUCAUUAUCGUUAUUGUGAUGCUCUUUCUAUGCUGGGGGAAUAUGACUGGGCCCUGCAAGCAAACAUAAAAGCUCAAAAACUCUGUAAAAAUGACCCUGAGGGAAUCAAGGAUCUAAUUCAGCAGCAUGUAAAGUUACAAAAACAAAUAGAAGACCUACAAGGUCGAACAGCAAAUAAGGAUCCAAUUAAAGCCUUUUAUGAAAACAGGGCCUACACACCUAGGAGUUUAUCAGCACCUAUAUUUACUACUUCACUUAACUUUGUGGAGAAGGAAAGAGAUUUCAGAAAAAUUAAUCACGAAAUGGCCAACGGUGGUAAUCAGAAUCUAAAGGCGGCGGAUGAGGCGUUGAAGGUAGAUGAUUGUGACUGUCAUCCUGAAUUUUCACCACCAUCAAGUCAGCCUCCAAAACAUAAAGGAAAACAAAAAUCUCGAAACAAUGAAUCAGAGAAGUUCAGUUCUAGUUCACCAUUGACUUUACCAGCAGAUUUGAAGAACAUCUUGGAGAAACAGUUUUCUAAAUCUUCCAGAGCUGAACACCAGGAUUUUGCUAAUAUAAUGAAAAUGCUGAGAAG